UGGAUUUCAAGUAAUCAAGCAAUCAAAGAUAAAAUUUCUUGAUUUUGACUUGUGAUCUACCUUUCCCAUGCAUUCUUUUGCAUUUUCCAUGGUUGAAUCACAUGAUUUCAUGAUGGGUAUCUUGCUGAUCAAACCCUAGGAGAGAGAUUUUGAUGGUUGUUUUGGUAAGAUUUUAAGAUAUUCUAGUGUUUUUAGUUGAUUGGUGAUGUGUAGCAUGAAAAUCAAGCAAGAAAAAUUCAUGUUCUUUCAUAACCCUCAUUGGUUGAAUUCUCCAUGUGGAAUAUUGACGAUGAUUUAGAUAGAUUUUUCAGAUAUAUGGAUGUUUUUAGUUGUUUAUGGUGUUAAGUGUAAGAAUUAAGCUUGAAAUUCACAUAUUCCUCAUGAGUUCAUCAUUGGCCGAAUCUUCCUUCUAGAGUGUUGAUGGUGGAUUUGAUUUUAUUUCAAGUGAACUGGUUAGCAAAUGAUGAAUUAUGGUGUGAAAAUCAAGUAGGAAAAAUCAUAGUGUUGAUGCACCCACCAUGGCCGAAAUUCUCAAGAGAAAAUGUGAAGAUGAUUUUGCUAAAUUUUAUGGUAUUUGACUUGUGUUUGAUGGUUUGGAGAAUUGGAAGAAAAAUGGAGUUAAUUGGUGUUGAAUUGGACAUAUUGGCCAAUUCAUCGGGUGAUAGAUCGAAUUAGGCCAAUACCGUUUUAUUUAGGUACACAAUUGAAAUUGUGUAGAAUACCGUAUUUAGACUAUAAUUCAAACAAUUUGCAUUCCAUUGCAUGCAUUAGUAAAAAGCCUUAAAUAGAUUUAUAAUGGUAUGACACAGUAUAUUGAAUUAUGUGUCGUGUAUUGUAUAUAAGUGGUAAGCCCUCUAACAAGGGUAAAAACGUUUGUCAGAUGACUGAGAAUAGGAGUAUUUCAAACUCCUGAUACAGUGAGUAACCUUAUCAUCAUCUUGAUUAUCGGAAGUGAAUUUUAAUUCGUUUUUGUGAUUUUAUGGAAAAUGAGUUUAAAUGGUAAAUCUUUAUGUUUUAUAAGCAAAAUGUGAUUAAAUGAAAUGAUUUUAUAAAUUGUCUUGAAAUUGAAUGAUGGCUUUGAAAAUAGAGUAAUUGGAGACCACUUGAUGUGUUGUAAAUUUAUGGUUCUAAUUGAUUAGCUUAUGGCAAUAUUGGCAUGACUGAUUGAAUUGGUAAAUGUGCUGAAAAUGUAUGAACUGUUGAUUUGCCUUGAGAGACUGUAAAAUAAAAUAAUUGCCAUGUCAUGCUAUCGCAAAUUUUAUUGUAUGGUGGGUUUAGCUUACUGCAGUGGGCGAGUUUCUGUGGACUAGCCUAUUAGAAGGGCACGGUAAACCCCUUUAUAUUUUACCUCAGUUGGAGAGGCUAGUAGGGUAACUCCCGAGGUACAAUUUUAGAGUUCACUUCACGCCAAACCACCACGUGAGGGUGAACUCGGCCAACGCCAAGGAACGGCUAUGUUUUCAAAAUAAAAACAUGAUUUAUGCAUACAUAACUUGUUAACAGCCAUGGCGGACUCGGUUUGGGAUAGCCCUCGGCCAAAGUAUCCCUGAUAACUGAGUAUGAGAAUGAUUUUUUGGCACGAGCCAAGUUUUUCAGAAAUUCAUAAGCCAUGUUGAUUACUCGAUUUAAAUGAAUUAAUUUUAUUUGGUUGAAAUGAGUUGAAAGGUGAUAAAUUACAGUAUGAUGAUUUAUUUCAAUCGUCUUCAUUUACUCGACUUUAGAUAUUUUGGAUGAUGUUUGUUUACUCAUUGGGAUUAUAUAAUCUCACCACCCUCCUUUCCACCCUUUUCAGGCUCAAGAUAGUCGGUAGAUAGCUCAUUUCGUUGAGGGCUACAAUUGGACUUGCAUCCUCAAAAACUGUAGGUUUAACGCUUUUGAUACUUUUGGUCGUUCGUGGGCCCACGUGUCAUUGUAAAUUAAAUCUUAUGCUUUGGUUAUCUGUAUUACAGUAUGUAUGAAUUUAUUUAACUUUUACACUACAAAAAUUAUUUAUCGGUAACUUUAUAAAUAUUGUUUUAUAAGAAAAUAGAAUAUUUUAUUGAAUAUUUUAAUUA
RNAcentral lists this long non-coding RNA (2054 nucleotides) under Theobroma cacao (cacao). RNAcentral describes it as "long non-coding RNA (TCAC_LNC003810)". Lineage: Eukaryota; Viridiplantae; Streptophyta; Magnoliopsida; Malvales; Malvaceae. The record is from RNAcentral.